This 273-nucleotide ribosomal RNA is filed under the name uncultured Lachnospiraceae bacterium. RNAcentral's name for it is "partial 16S ribosomal RNA". It matches the Rfam family "Bacterial small subunit ribosomal RNA", at positions 68 to 339 of the family's 1533-position model. Lineage: Bacteria; Bacillati; Bacillota; Clostridia; Lachnospirales; Lachnospiraceae. The record is from RNAcentral.
AAGUUUUCGGAUGGAUUUAAAACAGCUUAGUGGCGGACGGGUGAGUAACGCGUGGGUAACCUGCCUCACACUGGGGGAUAACAGUUAGAAAUAGCUGCUAAUACCGCAUAAGCGCACAGCUUCGCAUGAAGCAGUGUGAAAAACUCCGGUGGUAUGAGAUGGACCCGCGUCUGAUUAGCUAGUUGGUGAGGUAACGGCCCACCAAGGCGACGAUCAGUAGCCGACCUGAGAGGGUGAUCGGCCACAUUGGGACUGAGACACGGCCCAAACUCC